GAUGAAGAACGUAGCAAAAUGCGAUAAGUAAUGUGAAUUGCAGAAUUCAGUGAAUCAUCGAAUCUUUGAACGCACAUUGCGCCCGCUGGUAUUCCGGCGGGCAUGCCUGUUCGAGCGUCAUUUCAACCCUCAAGCCCCCGGGUUUGGUGUUGGGGAUCGGCUCUACCCUUCUGGGCGGUGCCGCCCCCGAAAUACAUUGGCGGUCUCGCUGCAGCCUCCAUUGCGUAGUAGCUAACACCUCGCAACUGGAACGCGGCGCGGCCAUGCCGUAAAACCCCAACUUCUGAAUGUUGACCUCGGAUCAGGUAGGAAUACCCGCUGAACUUAAGCAUAUCAAUAAGCGGAGGA
Molecule: unclassified non-coding RNA, 348 nt
Filed under: soil metagenome
Description: partial contains 5.8S ribosomal RNA, internal transcribed spacer 2, and large subunit ribosomal RNA
Rfam family: 5.8S ribosomal RNA (bases 1-120)
Source: RNAcentral